RNAcentral lists this ribosomal RNA (491 nucleotides) under Enterococcus sp. M16-C26. Its description in RNAcentral is "bacterial SSU rRNA". It matches the Rfam family "Bacterial small subunit ribosomal RNA", at positions 1 to 472 of the family's 1533-position model. Lineage: Bacteria; Bacillati; Bacillota; Bacilli; Lactobacillales; Enterococcaceae. The record is from RNAcentral.
UGAGCUUGAUCCUGGCUCAGGACGAACGCUGGCGGCGUGCCUAAUACAUGCAAGUCGAACGCUUUUUCUUUCACCGGAGCUUGCUCCACCGAAAGAAAAAGAGUGGCGAACGGGUGAGUAACACGUGGGUAACCUGCCCAUCAGAAGGGGAUAACACUUGGAAACAGGUGCUAAUACCGUAUAACACUAUUUUCCGCAUGGAAGAAAGUUGAAAGGCGCUUUUGCGUCACUGAUGGAUGGACCCGCGGUGCAUUAGCUAGUUGGUGAGGUAACGGCUCACCAAGGCAACGAUGCAUAGCCGACCUGAGAGGGUGAUCGGCCACACUGGGACUGAGACACGGCCCAGACUCCUACGGGAGGCAGCAGUAGGGAAUCUUCGGCAAUGGACGAAAGUCUGACCGAGCAACGCCGCGUGAGUGAAGAAGGUUUUCGGAUCGUAAAACUCUGUUGUUAGAGAAGAACAAGGAUGAGAGUAGAACGUUCAUCCCUGA